AUUGAACGCUGGCGGCAUGAUUUACACAUGCAAAUCGAACGGUAACAGGCCGCAAGGUGCUGACGAGUGGCGAACGGGUGAGUAAUGCAUCGGAACGUGCCCAGUCGUGGGGGAUAACUACUCGAAAGAGUAGCUAAUACCGCAUACGAUCUAUGGAUGAAAGCGGGGGACCGUAAGGCCUCGCGCGAUUGGAGCGGCCGAUGUCAGAUUAGGUAGUUGGUGGGGUAAAGGCUCACCAAGCCAACGAUCUGUAGCUGGUCUGAGAGGACGACCAGCCACACUGGGACUGAGACACGGCCCAGACUCCUACGGGAGGCAGCAGUGGGGAAUUUUGGACAAUGGGCGCAAGCCUGAUCCAGCAAUGCCGCGUGCAGGAAGAAGGCCUUCGGGUUGUAAACUGCUUUUGUACGGAACGAAACGGCUCUGGUUAAUACCCGGGGCUAAUGACGGUACCGUAAGAAUAAGCACCGGCUAACUACGUG
This 482-nucleotide ribosomal RNA is filed under the name uncultured bacterium. Its description in RNAcentral is "partial 16S ribosomal RNA". It matches the Rfam family "Bacterial small subunit ribosomal RNA", at positions 30 to 507 of the family's 1533-position model. The record is from RNAcentral.